CGGAUGAUGUGAAUAAUCAUUGAACAGAGAUCGUAUAAUACUCUUGUUUGCUGAUCUUGUUCUCUCAUUUUUUUUUUUUUUUAAAUGGGAAAAUUGGAAAAUGUAAAACAAUAGGAUAAGAACUGGUGAAGAUUUCGGGGAAAAGGAUUGGGAUCUGUAUCGGUUUACAAGAAACGAGACGAAAGGAUAAACUCAAGAGGAUUGUGUUGAAGCCAUUCUCGAAAUCUUACUAUUAUUGGCAUAUACAAACAAAAAGUACUAUAAUGCAGCGUGUAUUACG
Molecule: long non-coding RNA, 280 nt
Filed under: Olea europaea (common olive)
Lineage: Eukaryota; Viridiplantae; Streptophyta; Magnoliopsida; Lamiales; Oleaceae
Description: long non-coding RNA (OEUR_LNC013739)
Source: RNAcentral